GUGGUGGCUCAGUGGUAGAGUACUUGCCUAGCAUGUGGGAGGCACUGGGUUCCAUUCUCAGCACCACA
Molecule: transfer RNA, 68 nt
Filed under: Marmota monax (woodchuck)
Lineage: Eukaryota; Metazoa; Chordata; Mammalia; Rodentia; Sciuridae
Rfam family: tRNA
About the family: Transfer RNA (tRNA) molecules are approximately 80 nucleotides in length. Their secondary structure includes four short double-helical elements and three loops (D, anti-codon, and T loops).
Source: Rfam by way of RNAcentral